Molecule: ribosomal RNA, 301 nt
Filed under: uncultured bacterium
Lineage: Bacteria
Description: partial 16S ribosomal RNA
Rfam family: Bacterial small subunit ribosomal RNA
Source: RNAcentral
CAGCAGCCGCGGUAAUACGAAGGGUGCAAGCGUUAAUCGGAAUUACUGGGCGUAAAGCGUGCGUAGGCGGUGAGUUAAGUCUGCUGUGAAAUCCCCGGGCUCAACCUGGGAAUGGCAGUGGAUACUGGCUCGCUAGAGUGUGUCAGAGGAUGGUGGAAUUUCCGGUGUAGCAGUGAAAUGCGUAGAGAUCGGAAGGAACAUCUGUGGCGAAGGCGACUAUCUGGGCCAACACUGACACUGAGGCACGAAAGCGUGGGGAGCAAACAGGAUUAGAUACCCGGGUAGUCCCUGUCUCUUAUAC